ACCUGGUGUGGAAGCUGGGAAAAAAGCUGCUGGAGAAGUUCUUGCUCUUCAAAAGCGUGUCCUUCAAGUACUUAAUGAGGCCAGCUGUAAACAGCCUGUUGAACCACUUACUCUGGAUGAAAUAGCUGAACGUUGUCAUUGUGAAGACGAUAUUGAAAUGAUCUAUAAGAUUAUUGCACACAUGGCUGCUAAUGACAGAGCACUUAUUGCCGAAGGUAAUUGUGGUACUCCUCACAGCAUAAAAGUUUAUCUGGGAGAGUGCAAUGUUGACGACUUGUAUGCCUAGAUCUUGCAUUGAACAUUCUGAUGUUUCUACAUACAUCCGAGAAAUACAUAUGUGCCCAAGAUAGGGUCCGGCCUUAUGGUGGCUGAUUAUUGGGGAUUCCUAACUUAAAAUAUCCAUUUUUUUUUCUUUUCAAAGCACCAUCAUGUUCACAUCUGUUAGCUGUAUCAGAGAGCAUAUUGCUUCCCCAUGAUCAAAUAAAUUUCAGAAAGCUGAGUUUGUUGACACUGCUGCUGUUUAUAAUAUGCUUUUCAUCACCCUCUUUUUUCUUAUUGAUUUGGACAUACA
RNAcentral lists this unclassified non-coding RNA (571 nucleotides) under Hevea brasiliensis (rubber tree). The record is from RNAcentral. Lineage: Eukaryota; Viridiplantae; Streptophyta; Magnoliopsida; Malpighiales; Euphorbiaceae.